Molecule: long non-coding RNA, 1224 nt
Filed under: Coffea arabica (coffee)
Lineage: Eukaryota; Viridiplantae; Streptophyta; Magnoliopsida; Gentianales; Rubiaceae
Description: long non-coding RNA (CARA_LNC001933)
Source: RNAcentral
AAAAAAUCGUAUUUUUAAAUGUUUCAAGUUAUUAAAGGGAAAUGUUAGGUAGAAGAUUUUAACUAAAUUGAAUAGGAUUUUGAUGUUUAAAUGUAAUUGUAGGAAUGGAAGGAAAUGGUGCAGGAGGGGUGCACCUGAGUUGCCACCGAGGAGACAAAGGACUGUUCCAUUUCAAGAGGGACCUGGUCAGCCUUUUUGACAGUAUGUCCGAGGUCGACGAAUGACUAGUCGAUAUGAUUGUUGGAGGACAUAUUCGUACCCCGAUCGGGUAGUACUAGCAAUAGUAGAUGAAAGACGGAGGUUAGCGAUCCAAAAUGACAUAUAAUAUACUCAAAUUCGUGAGAUGAGGGUGGUUAUGAGAAUGCAAAAUGAAAGAAUUCGAGAAAUGGAUAUGGAGUUGAUAGCCGAACAGGAAAGGACCAAUAUUUUGAGAGAGCAGUUACAAGCGAGUAACAAUUGCUUGGAAGGAAUGGUAAGGUAGGUAAGAGAUCGAAUUGAGGGGAUUCUAGCUGAAUGUUAAGUUUUGAUAGAAGAGGUUAUCAGAGAGAAUUUAAACGGGGAAGGUCAGGGUGUAAAAGUUCCUAGAGUUGUAGGUGAAGCUGAACCGGCAAAGGAAGAUCUCGAGAAGGAUCCAGAAGAAGAGGAAUCCAUGGAAGCGGAACCGGAAGAAGAGGUGGGAUCCAGUGGGACUGUCCAGGACUAGACCAAUGGAGUCUUAAGUUGAACUUAAAACUGAGGGUUUAGCUACUAGCUAUGCUUGCUUUAAUAAUUCGACUACACUACUGAACUGUUUCUCUUUUAUGUUGUUUGAAUUGAAGUUUAUGUUAUGUUUGUUGAGUAUUGGAUAUAUUUGUGACUUGCUUGGUUUCUUUAAAUAUGUUUGAAGUUGAUAGGUAUUGUAACUUACAUUGUUGUGGUAUGUAACCUAAUGACCGUGCUCUCGUUUUGUUAUAAUGCUGUGUGAGUUACAAGCAUUUUGUAUUGAGAUUACUUGGCAACCUAAGUAUAUGUAGUUAAUUAUCGAUCAUUUAUACAUAAAUUGGUAGUGAGAUAUGGAAGUUAGGCCACGAUGACGAGGCCGUAGACCUAGGUAACCCUAAGAGCAAGGGAAAGAACGGGAAUUUGCGGUCAAUCAAAACCAAGAAUAGGGAGCCAAUAUAGGUGACCUAGUGGCUACUGCUUUAAAUCGGAUGACCGACCUUUUAGAGCGUACAGCACCCCCAC